UGUCAGUGCCUUGUUUUAAAUGUUGCAACUUUUUAAUCAUGCCACGAGUAUAAUAAACAUCAACGAAUCUAUCUCUCAUGACAAGUUUUAAAUCAUUCCAAGUAGUAGGUAUAAAAUCAAGGUUUAACCGACAAUAUUCACUCCACCAAACUAAACCAAAGCUACUGAAAUUACUAUCCGCAACUUAAAAUUUUCCACGCUCAUCAAAAUCAUGGGAAGAAAAUAUAGAAUUUAUUCCGUACUCCCCACAUAGAUUAGGCCUAAAACGACCAGUAAAUGGUGGCAUGGAAACAUUAACCUGAUUAUGUGCAUUAUGAUGUUGUCCCUCCUCUUGUGUCGGUUGUUGUAUUUUCUUAGGUGGUGGCAAAUCUCCCACGAUCGAUGAAGCCCAAGAACUAAUAACUCCGGAACCUGCCAUAGUUAGUAGAAAACAAGAAACAAAAUCCGAGAAUAAUGUUCCUAUGAACUACUAGGAUGUGGUGAUAAACGCUCACAGUAUAGCAAAUAUCAAUAUCUUACAAGUUCUUACCAUGCAGCAGGUGACAGGCAACCAGUGGUGUCAAAUAACUCCGAAGAUUGAGUAAAGCGAUUGCCAAGGGAACGUACGUAUACACGAUGUAGAAAUAUGUGGAGCAUGGAAGGCUUAAAUAUUUGGUAGCAAAAGAUUAUCAAUUCAGAGAUGCAAUGUUGAAUAAACACUCAACGAUGAUAUUGUGCUGGUACUAGGCUAGACCGAACUAGAGACGCGAGCCUAGAAUACUAAUGAGGUCACAGCGUAGCACAACUAGCAUCAAUAAAGGAUAUGAAGUAGCUCUGGACAGUAAGAUAAAAGUGAAUACCACAAUAGCAGUAAAGAUAAUGAUGUGAAAUAAUUGCCAAGCAAGAUAUACCAACAACUUUCUCUCCAACUUUCCUCUGGAAAAGUUUUUGCCAAUUUUUUGAUAAUUUUUCUCAAGAAUGGCACGGACUCAAGCUUUCAGACUCAAAAAGAAUCACUCAAUUCCGAGUUGAUAUGGGGAGUCAAAAAAUUCUGAAGCUGGCUUGAAAAACUGGAACAAGCUGUGGUCGCGAACUUCAGAGGGAAAAAAGACCUAUUUAGAAGUCGAUGUUUAGGUGUCAAAUAUUGAACUAGCUUUUGCAACUAUUUAGAUGCGGCUUGUCUGUGGCUUUAAUUUGAGUACUCACGUAGCCAAAUGGACUUUGUAUGAGGAAGAUAUGCCUGUUUUACUGAACAGUGCACAAAACAGGUUCCAAUCUGAAUUCAGCUACGAGAUUGACUCUAGAUAGAUCUGAAUUUUGUUUUUUUUUCUUCUCUCUUUUUUCCUCACACUUUUUUCUUUUUCUUUCUCUCCCUUUUUUCUCUGACUUUUUUUUUACCUUUUUCUCUUUUUUUCUCUGUCUUUUUUGUUCUCCCUCCCUCUUUAAAAAAAACUAGAUAAGAUACAGAUUGGAUCAAGCGAAGAUGUGUACGACCUCAACUAUGAUUAUGACAAUGAAUGGUGGGUAGAAUGUGGUGGAAAUUGAUGGAUGAGAUGGUGGAUAGUGGAAGGAAUAAUGAUGCAGUGGCGGCGUGACUAAUGUGAACAGAACUCGAAACUCUAAACGAACUAGACACUAAGACCGGCAACUCGACACGAAGAUGCAACCGAUAAUUCAAUAAUGCAAAAAAUAAAAAAUAAAAUUGCAAAGGCUCAGACUAGCUUGGACAAAGGAUGAAUAGAUCUAACUUUAUUUGUGGCAUUUUCUUGGACAAUAGGUAAGAAAAAUUAAAUCUAAUCUAGGGAAAACAGAAAACUCUCAUCGAGCAACCUGGCUCUGAUACCACUUGAUAGAGGCGAGGGUGUCCUGAUCUUUCGAUGAGAUGAUAACUAUCAAUUUUGAUGAGGACAUCAAUACCAUUGUUACACCCACAGCCCCUGCUGCUAUACAUACUGGACCAAUUACUAGAGCUCGCGCACGCCAAUUGAAUUAUCAGGUACUUUCGUUUCUUGGUAACGAUUCUAAUGUUCAUGAGAAUAUGAUGCUGCCUAAAUUGGAUACAUUUGUUUUGCUUACAAAUGAAGGGCCUAGCUUGGACAAGAAAGAUGAACCUUGAAGCAAGUUCAAGCAUGGAGAGGAUGGCAUGCGCAAGGGGAACAAGAACGAAGUUACAAGUGAUGAUUCCAGGACUCUGAAGCCACCAUAAUGAGUGCAUGAAGCAUGGGACGAAAUAUACAAAAUGCCACUUCAUAAAUUUCGUCCACAGGCUAUUUUAGGUGCUGCGUCACCAUAUUAUUGGGCCAGACCCAUGUAUUUUUGAAGUACUUAAGUAUAGGCUAUUUUUAGAGUCCGUAUGUGUGGGGAAACCAGAGUUAGGGUUGGUUUCGGACCCCUCCACCAAGGGCAACGAAAUUCCCCCUCUCUCCUCCAUAUAUACAGCCCUUAGGGCAUCGUUUAGACUGUGGGUUUUGUUUAGAUUAAAAGUUCGCCAUAGCUGCAACUUCGCGUACUUCGUUUGUGUCCAACGACCAGACCAAGACGUCAGAGAACCCCACCUUGAUGAAUAAAGCUUUCAUCUUAUAUUCGCAAUAUCCAGAUUGCAAUCUCAGUUUCUUGCUUGUUCUUCGUUUGCUCGCAGGAAACAGACCCUCGUGGUCAGGUUGAUCGUGCUCCGGCGUGGUCAAUAACCCUCGGAAGUUGGUUUAGCGAUUGCUAAGGCGCGACGUCUCGCACGUUCGUAGUCGGAUCGUCAAGGUCGACUCCCACAGAAAACGAUAGUCACCAUCUCAUCGAAACAUCGGGACACCUUCGCCUCUAUCAGAUUUGGUGGAGAUGACUUUGACGAUCCGACUAAAAACAUGCACGAUGUUGCGCCUUAGCAAUCACUAAACCAAUCUCCCAAGGUUACUAAUGAUGCUAGAAGCACGAUCAGCCUGGCCACGAAGGUCUAUUCCUGCAUGCAAUCGAAGAACAAGCAAGGAUAUGAUAAUGCAAUCUGAAUAUUGCGAAUAUAGAUGAAGUAUUGAUAAAUGUGGGGAUUCGAAAGUAGCCUUGGUCUGGUCGUUGGACACAAACGAAGUACGCGAAGUUGCAAUGACUAACUUUUAACUAAACAAAUCCCAAGGAAAAAUCUACUAGAUGAAUCUACUUAUAUAGGAGCAAGGGGUGGCGGCCAAGGAGGUGGGAGGAUGUCCCGAGGCAGCCUAAAACUAACCCUAGGUCAUACAAGGCUCAUGGAUCCAAGUGGAGGUGAUGCAACACCUUUGGACUUGUAGUUUGACUCGGAUUCUGCUGCAGCGUCAGAUUGUUUCAUCGAUAACUCCACGUUCUGGAUGAAUUUGAAGGUGAAUUCAACUGGGUUGGAAAGAGCACGAAAUCUACUUUCCAGCAAAAAAAGAAUCACCCAAUUCGGAGUCCAUGUGAAAGAGUACUUGACGUUUUGAGUCAGGUAUGUUUGUGUUGGGGAACGUAGCAGAAAUUCAAAAUUUUCCUACGUGUCACCAAGAUCUAUCUAUGGAGAGACCAGCAACGAGUAGAAGGAGAGUGCAUCUACAUACCCUUGUAGAUCGCUAAGCGGAAACGUUCAAGUGAACGGGGUUGAUGGAGUCGUUCUCGUCGUGAUUCAAAUCAUCGAUGAUCAAGUGCCGAACGGACGGCACCUCCGCGUUCAACACACGUACAGCCCGGUGACGUCUCCCACGCCUUGAUCCAGCAAGGAGAGAGGGAGAGGUUGAGGAAGACUCCAUCCAACAGAAGCACAACGGCGUGGUGGUGAUGGAGGAGCGUGGCAAUCCAGCAGGGCUUCGCCAAGCACCAUGGGAGAGGAGGAGUAGGGAGAGAGGUAGGGCUGCACCAAGAGGGAUAGAACUCAUGUGUAUGGCAGCCCCAAACCUCAUCUAUAUAUAGGGGGAAGGGGGGGCUGCGCCCCCUUUAGGGUUUCCCACCCCCAAGGGGUGCGGCCAGCCCUAGAUGGCAAAGGGGAGGCGGCCAAGGGGGGAGAGGAGAGGGAGGCGCACCAAUAUGGGCCUUAAGGCCCAUCUGGACUAGGGUUUGCCCCCUCCCACUCUCCCUUGCGCCUUGCACCCUUGUGGGGGGCGCACCAGCCCUCCUAGGGGCUGGUCCCCUCCCACACUUGGCCCACGCAACCUUCUGGGGCAGGUGGCCCCACUUGGUGGACCCCCGGGACCCUCCCGGUGGUCCCGGUACAUUACCGAUAUCGCCCGAAACUUUUCCGGUGACCAAAACAGGACUUCCCAUAUAUAAAUCUUUACCUCCGGACCAUUCCGGAACUCCACGUGACGUCCGGGAUCUCAUCCGGGACUCCGAACAACAUUCGGUAACCACAUACAAACUUCCUUUAUAACCCUAGCGUCAUCGAACCUUAAGUGUGUAGACCCUACGGGUUCGGGAGACAUGCAGACAUGACCGAGACGUUCUCCGGUCAAUAACCAACAGCGGGAUCUGGAUACCCAUGAUGGCUCCCACAUGUUCCACGAUGAUCUCAUCGGAUGAACCACGAUGUCAAGGACUUAAUCAAUCCCGUAUUCAAUUCCCUUUGUCUAGCGGUAUUGUACUUGCCCGAGAUUCGAUCGUCGGUAUACCGAUACCUUGUUCAAUCUCGUUACCGGCAAGUCUCUUUACUCGUUCCAUAACACAUCAUCCCGUGAUCAAUCCCUUGGUCACAUUGUGCACAUUAUGAUGAUGUCCUACUGAGUGGGCCCAGAGAUACCUCUCCGUUUACACGGAGUGACAGAUCCCAGUCUCGAUCCGCAUAAAACAAUAGAUACUUUCGAAGAUACCUGUAGUGCACCUUUAUAGUCACCCAGUUACGUUGUGACGUUUGAUACACCCAAAGCACUCCUACGGUAUCCAGGAGUUACACGCUCUCAUGGUCGAAGGAAGAGAUACUUGACAUUGGCAAAGCUCUAGCAAAUGAACUACAUGAUCUUUUGUGCUAGUCUUAGGAUUGGGUCUUGUCCAUCACAUCAUUCUCCUAAUGAUGUGAUCCCAUUAUCAACGACAUCCAAUGUCCAUAGCCAGGAAACCAUGACUAUCUGUUGAUCACAACGAGCUAGUCAACUAGAGGCUCACUAGGGACAUAUUGUGGUCUAUGUAUUCACACGUGUAUUACGAUUUCCGGAUAAUACAGUUAUAGCAUGAAUAAAAGACUAUUGUCAUGAACAAAGAAAUAUAAUAAUAACNNNNNNNNNNNNNNNNNNNNNNNNNNNNNNNNNNNNNNNNNNNNNNNNNNNNNNNNNNNNNNNNNNNNNNNNNNNNNNNNNNNNNNNNNNNNNNNNNNNNAGGGAGAGAGGUAGGGCUGCACCAAGAGGGAUAGAACUCAUGUGUAUGGCAGCCCCAAACCUCAUCUAUAUAUAGGGGGAAGGGGGGGCUGCGCCCCCUUUAGGGUUUCCCACCCCCAAGGGGUGCGGCCAGCCCUAGAUGGCAAAGGGGAGGCGGCCAAGGGGGGAGAGGAGAGGGAGGCGCACCAAUAUGGGCCUUAAGGCCCAUCUGGACUAGGGUUUGCCCCCUCCCACUCUCCCUUGCGCCUUGCACCCUUGUGGGGGGCGCACCAGCCCUCCUAGGGGAUGGUCCCCUCCCACACUUGGCCCACGCAACCUUCUGGGGCAGGUGGCCCCACUUGGUGGACCCCCGGGACCCUCCCGGUGGUCCCGGUACAUUACCGAUAUCGCCCGAAACUUUUCCGGUGACCAAAACAGGACUUCCCAUAUAUAAAUCUUUACCUCCGGACCAUUCCAGAACUCCUCGUGACGUCCGGGAUCUCAUCCGGGACUCUGAACAACAUUCGGUAACCACAUACAAACUUCCUUUAUAACCCUAGCAUCAUCGAACCUUAAGUGUGUAGACCCUACGGGUUCGGGAGACAUGCAGACAUGACCGAGACGUUCUCCGGUCAAUAACCAACAACGGGAUCUGGAUACCCAUGAUGGCUCCCACAUGUUCCACGAUGAUCUCAUCGGAUGAACCACGAUGUCAAGGACUUAAUCAAUCCCGUAUUCAAUUCCCUUUGUCUAGCGGUAUUGUACUUGCCCGAGAUUCAAUCGUCGGUAUACCGAUACCUUGUUCAAUCUCGUUACCGGCAAGUCUCUUUACUCGUUCCGUAACACAUCAUCCCAUGAUCAACCCCUUGGUCACAUUGUGCACAUUAUGAUGAUGUCCUACCGAGUGGGCCCAGAGAUACCUCUCCGUUUACACGGAGUGACAAAUCCCAGUCUCGAUCCGCAUAAAACAAUAGAUACUUUCGGAGAUACCUGUAGUGCACCUUUAUAGUCACCCAGUUACGUUGUGACGUUUGAUACACCCAAAGCACUCCUACGGUAUCCAGGAGUUACACGCUCUCAUGGUCGAAGGAAGAGAUACUUGACAUUGGCAAAGCUCUAGCAAAUGAACUACACGAUCUUUUGUGCUAGUCUUAGGAUUGGGUCUUGUCCAUCACAUCAUUCUCCUAAUGAUGUGAUCCCGUUAUCAACGACAUCCAAUGUCCAUAGCCAGGAAACCAUGACUAUCUGUUGAUCACAACGAGCUAGUCAACUAGAGGCUCACUAGGGACAUAUUGUGGUCUAUGUAUUCACACGUGUAUUAUGAUUUCCGGAUAAUACAGUUAUAGCAUGAAUAAAGACUAUUAUCAUGAACAAAGAAAUAUAAUAAUAACACUUUUAUUAUUGCCUCUAGGGCAUAUUUCCAACAGUUUGUGCAGUCCGAAUCUGAAUUCAGAACGUGAGAGACUUAGACUCUAUCUUCUCUUGGCCCAAACGUGACGUGAGAUGACUUUUUGAACAACUCCUAAACUUCUCCUCUUCCCUUAUUUUAAUAUGUGGAUUGUAAAAAUGUCCCAUACACCUGCAAUUAGACAUGGCACAAAAGUCUAUGAAGUAUUAUUGUCCUGGAUGACAUAAAUAAAUUGUUACAUAGUUUGCAUUAGAAAUCACCUCACAAAUAUACAUGUAUGCAAUAUUUUUGGUCAUAUCCAAGGUAGUCAUGUCCUCAUCAACCUUGCUCUGCACGUAAGCAGGUUGAUCCAUUCCGGCUUGAUGUGCUGCUAUGUAAGUAGUUAAACACAUAAAACACAUUCUUUGCGCGCAAACAUCGCUGGUAUGCGUCGGUCCUAAACAAAUGGUUUUUAACCCCUUUUUGCGAUGGCAUUCGGAACCAUCGCCAAGUGAGUGUGGGUGAUAGGGGGGUCCUUCCCACACGACCCAGAAACCGUUGGGGAUAUGCCCUCCUGGCACACACGCUCGGCAAAAUGAGGUCGUGUGCGACCGGCGAGCACUCAAAUAUAGAAAUACAUACAUUAGUGCUAAAAAAUACAAUUUUACCAAACGUUAACUGAGCACCACAUUCCACAAUAUAACAUACUCCUAAUAGAAGAUCAGACAGUUAACCAAACAAAUCAUGCUUAACAACUUGAAAAUAUAGCAAUUGUAUUUGUUUCUCAUGUAUUUAGUACAACCAAAUUCGAUUUAUUCCUCACAUGGUAUACAAUAACAGAAUGCGGCCACAACAAUUGAACAUCGCAUUGCAGAAUUGAACCAAGCAGUUAACUAAACACCACAACAAGUGAACCAAGCCACAACAAAUGAACCAAGAAGUUAACUAAACACCAAUUGAACAAUAUAACAUACUCCUAAUAGAAGAUCAGACAGUUAACCAAACCAAGCAUGCUUAACAACUUGGAAAUAUUGCACCCUGAAGAAUUGAACAUCACAUUUGCAGAAUUGAAUCAAACAGCUAAUUGAACACCACAUUGCACGACAUAUAGAACAUAUACACUAUAGCAAAAGAUUGCAUGGUAAAAGUAGAUAGCACAAUUCACUAGAAUUUGUUAUGGAAAGGCAGUAGCUAGCAAACUGAACAUGGGUCCUUAUAGUGAGCUAAUAAGACAAGCUACUCCUCAUUGUCGGAGAUAUCGAUGACGAUUGGCUCCUUGGACAUGGAAGAGGGCGAGGCCUCCGCAUCAUGGGUGCCCUCGUUGUAGUGGUGAGUUGCCUGAGCCGCUCCGGGCACCAACCUACUAGCUCUCGAGAUGAGUAAGCACGUGCAUGCUGAGAAAACACCUCGUAGUCUUAUCGAAGGCACCGACGGUGGCCUCGAGAAAACGCCACGAACUGUCGUUUAAAGCAGCCAACCGCGUCGCAGUGUCGGCGCGUGAGGCGUCAAAGGUAGCCUCGACGGCGAGGUGCUCCUCCAAGAUCUAGGGGUCGGCACGAAUGGCAGCCAUCGCGACCUCAUCCACGCGUGCGGCUGCGAUUUGCUUCUCCCCUACCGAAUGCUCCUUGAGGUCCUGGCUAUACUGCGUGCACCAUGUCUUAGGCCGACGCUUAUUUGGUGGAAGGGUCGAUGAUUUGGGUGGAAGGUGUCACGCUCACGACGGCGGUCGGGACAUGUGGGAUGUGGAAGGAGGAGGAGGAUGGGGGUCGGGUGUGGAUUACCUGCCUAGAUAGGCGAGGCCGAGCAGCGUGAAGGAGGGUCGCCGACGAGGAGGCGGCGACGCUGCAAGCAAGGAGUGAAGGUUUCAACAUGGAAAGGAAGGCGAAAACAGGGGAAAUGUGGCUUCUCGUAAGGGGAAGGGGGCGGGAAGGUAGAUAUUUCGCGGAAGCCGAAAAUUUAGAAUCGCUUCAGCCAAAAAACUGGCACGCAAAGUGUCACCAGACACGGUCCCUAAUUCAGAGCGGGCUGUGGACUGUAGUCGUCGCACCUUCUCGCAUAAGUCGUAUGCGUACUAUACUCUGACGGUGCUCCAAGAUAUUUUGUGUUGCAUCUCACACGGUUGGUUAUAAUAAACAGUGUGGGAUCUACUUGAUUUUUCGUCUUGAUUUGAAUUACAUAAUGGGGUCACAGCGGCCAUGGACGGUGUUUGAAUUGCUAGACCUUUUAUCUGCAGUGAUCAUGCAACUAUAUGUGUGUCAUAAAAGAAUUGGAAUUAUUUAAGGUUCGUUUGGACAUCUUUAUGCAUUAAGUGAGUUUUCAAUGUAUUUAUGUGCAUAAUUCAAAUUUGAACUACAUGCACAUGCUCCAAUGCAUAUAAAUUGGUUGAAAAAUCAAAUCUUUGUCCUUGGGUGCAUGCUUAGGUCUCAUGCAAGAAAUGGGAAUGAUUUUCAAACACCAGGGCACUGUUGAAAAACAUUGAGAUGCUUGGUUUUUAAAUUCUAAUAAAUCCAAAACUCGUCUAAAAUUCAUGAAACUUGGCAUGCUAUCAUGGAGCGGCAUCAACAUGCUGUGGUAAAUUUUGUGUCCCGUUUGGGGCAGGUUUGGGUAUAUGCUUCUCACAAAACGAGAGCUUCUCACAACAAGCAUGAUGGUUUCGGUAGAGAACGCCCCACCUUUGGGAACAAAACGAUAUCCAUUGCCUCUUAUUGCUUUCAAAAAAAUUCACGUGUCAACAUAGAACAACAUGAGUGUUGUGUUAUUUUUUGUGAUUUUUCGGGGUUUGUUUGGACAUUUUUAUGCAUUAACUGAGUUUUCCAAUGCAUUUAUGUGCAUAUUCAAAUUUAAACUACAUGCACAUGCUCCAGUGCAUAUAAAUUGGUUGAAAAAUCAAAUAUGUGUCCUUGGGUGCAUGCUUAGGUCCCAUGCAAGAAAUGGGAAUGAAUUUCAAACACCAGGGCACCGUUGAUUGCCGGCAAAACAUUGAGGUGUCUGGUUUUUAAUUCUAGUAAAUCCAAAACUCAUCUGAAAUUCAUGAAACUUGGCAUGCUAUCAUGGAGUGGCAUCAACAUGCCGUGGUAAAUUUUUUGUCCCAUUUGGGGCAGGUUUGGGUAUAUACUUCUUACAAACCAGAGCUUCUCACAACAAGCAUGAUGGUUUCGGUAGGGAACGCCCCACCUUUGGGGACGAAACGAUAUCCAUUAUCUCUUAUUGCUUUCAAAAAAUUUCUCGUGUCAACAUAGAACAACAGGAGUGUUGUGUUAUUUUUUGUGAUUUUUCGGGGUUCGUUUGGACAUUUUUAUGCAUUAAUUGAGUUUUCAAUGCAUUUGUGUGCAUAAUUCAAAUUUGAACUACAUGCACAUGCUCCAGUGCAUAUAAAUUGGUUGAAAAAUCAAAUCUGUGUCCUUGGGUGCAUGCUUAGGUCCCAUGUAAGAAAUGGGAAUGAAUUUCAAACACUAGGGCACCGCUGAUUGCCGGCAAAACAUUGAGAUGCCUGGUUCUUAAAUUCUAGUAAAUCCAAAACUCGUCUGAAAUUCAUGAAACUUGGCAUGCUAUCAUGGAGCGGCAUCAACAUGUCAUGGUAAAUUUUUUAUCCCACUUGGGGCAGGUUUAGGAAUAUGCUUCUCACAAACUAGAGCUUCUCACAACAAGUAUGAUGGUUUCAAUAGGGAACAUCCCACCUUUGGGGACGAAACGAUAUCCAUUGCCUCUUAUUGUUUUCAAAUUUUUUCUCGUGUCAACAUAGAAUAACAUGAGUGUUGUGUUAUUUUUUGUGAUUUUUCUGGGUUUGUUUGGACAUUUUUAUGCAUUAAGUGAGUUUUCAAUGUAUUUACGUGCAUAAUUCAAAUUUGAACUACAUGCACAUGCUUCAGUGCAUAUAAAUUGGUUGAGAAAUCAAAUAUGUGUCCUUGGGUGCAUGCUUAGGUCCCAUGCAAGAAAUGGGAAUGAAUUUCAAAUACCAAUGCACCGUUAACUGCUGGCAAAACAUUGAGAUGCCUGGUUUCUAAAUUCUAGUAAAUCCAAAACUCGUCUGAAAUUCAUGAAACUUGGCAUGCUAUCAUGAAGCGGCAUCAAUAUGCCGUGGUAAAGUUUUGUCCCAUUUGGGGCAGGUUUGGGUAUAUGCUUCUCAGAAACCAGAGCUUCUCACAACAAGCAUGAUGGUUUCAAUAGGGAACACCCCACCUUUGGGGACGAAACGAUAUCCAUUGCCUUUCAAAAAAUUUCUCGUGUCAACAUAGAACAACAUGAUUGUUGUGUCAAUUUUUGUGAUUUUUCAGGGUUCGUUUGGACAUUUUUAUGCAUUAAUUGAGUUUUCAAUGCAUUUAUGUGCAUAAUUCAAAUUUGAACUACAUGCACAUGCUCCAGUGCAUAUAAAUUGGUUGAAAAAUCAAAUAUGUCCUUGUGUGCAUGUAAAAAAUGGGAAUUAAUUUCAAACACCAGGGCACCGUUGAUUGCCGGCAAAACGUCGAGAUACUUUGUUUUUAAAUUCUAAUAAAUCUAAAACUCGUCUGAAAUUCAUGAAACCUGGCAUUGCUAUCAUGGAAGGGCACCCGACAUGUUGUGGUAUUUUUCAUGUCCAUUUUGAGAGAAGGCGCACUCGAAUAAUGACAGCCAACAAAGGCAUUUUGAAAAAAUAGCUGCCACUUUAAUAUCUCAAACAUUUGUAUAAUUCAAACCGUGUGCGUACGGUUAGCCAUUCACAUGAUGCCACAUGUCUUGGUUUUAAUGGCUAUAGGAGGUGUCGUGUGGGCAGCUGUUUGACUGGACGAGAGGCGUGCGAGUGCAUCCGGUGCGCAGGCUCACCGGGAAGCGUACAAGCUGUUCAACGCAUGAUCUGUGCAUCUCUUCAACGCAAACAGUUCAGAUUACGGUAUGCAAAUUAAAGCCAGAUUUCGUCUCUAAGCCAAAAGACACUGCGAUUUGUCAAAAUAUGUAGCUAAAAAUCAAUAGCACUAUCUAUUUUUUACCUAAAAUUCAGUAAUUAAGCAUAGAUUUCAUUCAUACUAGAGGUUAAGCAGUCGUUCUCACCGGGAAGCGAGACAUACUUGGACCGCUGCAUGCCUCACUCCCACUAGUCUAUAUUAAUGGCGCCGCCGAGCGGCCGCACCCCCCAUCCUCACCACACACACAAUUCCUCUCUCUACGCCUGCAUCCUUGACGCCGCUCUGAGUCCUUAAAGUCGUCAGUGUACAAGGAUACCGCCGAAGCGCCCCAUCGGAGGGAGUGGUGACGCUGAGGCUGCUGAAGCACCGGAGCAUGGCGUGAAUAUGGAGAUAGAGGUUUCCAUCCCCGCCGACGAGGUGGAGAACGAGGCUGCCAACAAGUGGAGGCGGGUCAAGAAAGAACCGCAAGCGACUCUAGCAGGCCUAGACUUCAUCAACAACCUCCCCGAUGAUAUGUUAAUAGUCAUCAUAUCCCUCCUCCCAAUCAAAUAUCGGGUGAGGACAGCCGCCCUUUCUCGGCGGUGGCGCACCCUAUGGCUCCGCACCCCUGUCGACCUCCUCGACGCCCACAAGCUCUAUCAUGGUUGUCGCCAAAGCUUGGAUGCGUUCUCCCAGAUCCUCGGCAGUCACGAUGGCCCAAUCAAAGGCCUUAUCACGAGCAAGUUCCGUUCCAAUGGCAAGGACAAAGCCAAGCUUGCCGAGUGGUUCCAAUCCCGCGCCAUAGAUUAGCUAAAGAAGCUAAGUUAUAAUGAUGGGCAUAUGCGCUUGCUGCCAACGUCCGCGCUCCGCUUCGCGCCCAUGCUAUGCCUCGCCAAGUUUAUGAGCUGCCACCCCCCUAAUGAUGCGCCCGCUCUUUUUCUACCACGACUGAAGCACCUCGAGCUUGACACCGUCCGCAUCCCAAAGGAUGACAUGGAGCGCCUGCUCCGCGGCUGUACUGCACUCGAGUUCCUUCGUCUUCAGGCGAUGAAUUGGUCGAGUACCUUGCACAUCACCUCCAGGACUCUCCGGACUAUUUAUGUGUGUUGCUGGUGCCGCAACGAGAGAUCAAAAAAGGUGGACCACAAUAUGGUCAUCCAGGACACACCCUCACUUGAGAGAUUACUUGUAGUUGAUCAACAAGGUCCAACAAGAAUCAAUGUCAUUUCUGCACCGAAAUUGAAAGUGGUGGGCUACUCGUCUGUCGAAUACUACAACUUUCAGGCACAACAGUCGCCUUAUAUACCUCUCUUUCUUAAUAUCAACGUUAUUUCGAGUUUUGAAGAUGUAUGUUCGUCUGUCAUCCAGCGAAGCUUCACCCAGACUCUGGGCAUAGUGAAGGUCUUGGCACUAGAAUCUGUCGGCCCCAACCUGGACCAAGUUGGCAGUUGCCUGAGAUGCUUUCCGUGCCUGAAGAAGCUGUAUAUCAACGUGAUGUUCCUUUCCUAUUAAAUGUUAACCAUAAGGGAGUUCAAUUUUUUGCACCUUUUCCCAAGUUUAUAAUGACAAUGUACUAUGAUUUCUGAAGGAAUUUUGGAGGAUUUUAGGACAUACACCCCCACCCCAUAUUGGUUGCGUCAUUCAUAUGGUUACAAUCAUCCAUAAGCAUUUCUCCUUUGGAUUCAUAUGUACAAGUUUUCUUAGGGAAUUUUUCAUCCAAUCCAACCUCUUGUGAAGAAGGCUACAUGUUUCUAGAUUGUAAUCAAAUGCCCAUGUUAAUCAUGCCAGAUUAAAGAUGGCACGUUGGUGCAUUUUACAAAUCUUGCAAACCAAAUGGGCGUGUAGCAGUGUUCAAAACUGCAUGUAGGCACUAACGCGUUCUCUUCUUUUGCACAGGCCCGGAGGUGGAUGAUGUUUAUAACGACAAUCACAUCAAAUGCAUGGAUCUGCAUCUCUCAAAUAUUACUUUGAACUCCUACCGAGGAACCCCAUUGGAGAUUACACUCGCCAGGUUCUUUCUUGCCAGAGCAAAGGUGCUGAGGGUACUGAGGUUGAACACUCAUUUAAUUAGGAAAGAUCAAUGAUAUGAUUAUCAGAGCCGGCUGGUACUUGGAAUGGAAGUGCCUCCAAACAGGGCCGGCCCUGGGGUAUGGCCGAUGGGGCGAUGGCCUAGGGCCCAAGCGAGGAGGGGGCCCAUGCUGGAGUAUAUAUAUACUGUAUAUCCCAACAAAAAACAAGUAAAAAAUUACAAAAGAAUUAAAGAAGGGAAAUAAGAUGGGCUAUGCGACCCAGAUAGUAGCUACCGAUCGCUGAUCGAUUAGCGAACACGAAGCGGCGCCGUGACUCACGCCAGUUGCCAGCAUCAGGCACACGACUGCUGGUUUUCCUAAUUUCCUUCGUAGGUUCGUCGCCCUCGCCCGUGACACCCGUCGGCCUUCUCGCUUGGCGCCUUGCCCCUUGCCACGCCGCCCUCGCCUUGGCCGCCGCUGUCCGCGCCGCCACACAGCAAUCCGGCAUGCGGUAGCCCGGCCAUCCGGCAUCCGGCAAGGCGGUACCGCAACAAUACCUAUACAAGUAUACAUCUGACUGGAAGUCCCGAAGUCUACUCGUUUUCCAUCCAUUUCAUCCAUGUUCCUAUCCAUCCCACCAAACCCCAAAUUUGACAAUUCAGUAGUUUAUUUAUUCUUUAUUUAGUAUCUAUGUAUUAUAAUCCAAUCUAUCAUUUUUUUGUCAUUCUAUAUACAUGUCUAGGGUUCCAAUCAUCCGAUGUAUAAAUUCCUAAUUCUUUGUAUCCUCUUUUGAUCCUUUCUACGUGAUUUUAGGACAUUAGCAUGCCAUGCUACCUAAGAAGAAGCAAUUGCUGGGCGCUGAAAAAAGGAGGAAAAAGAAAGAAAGUGAUCCGAAAAUUCUACCACCGAAGGGUUCGUUGAAUAAGUUCUUUACAUCUUCAAGCUAUGCUGAUGUCGGUGAAGAACAAGGGCAAGAAACUACUCUCGAGCAUGAAAAUUCCGUUCUUAUUUGAGGUAAUCAUGUCAUGUUAGUUUCAUUUUAUGAUCUUUUUAGUAUUAUUGUUUUUGAUUGAGUGAGUUUGAAUUUGGUUAUUAUUGUUCUCGAUGGAGUCAUUUGAACUAUUAUAGUCAUAUUUUAAACUAAAGAUGUGUGAUUGAAAGUUAUUUUUAAUAAGUUAUAACACACACACACACACACACACACACACAUAUAUAUAUAUAUAUAUAUAUAUAUAUAUAUAUGGUCUUAGGACUUAGGACAUAGGGGCCCAUGUCGUCGAGUUUGCCUAGGGCCUUCCGAAACACAGGGCCGGCCCUGCCUCCAAAAAUGCCAAACUUCUUAUUGGAAGAGCAUAUGGCAAAUCAAUUGGAAGUUAUUGUGUCAAAUCCAUACAUGACUUGUCAGUGGCUGAUCCCUUUUCAGAAAUGACGUAGCUUGCAAUGUUUGAAUUUGGGCAUUCUAAUCUUUGAAUUUGAACCUUGCAAUAUUUAUGGUAUUUGUUAUAUUGAACCAUUUUCGUUUUCUUGUCUCAACGCAAACAUUUCAUCCGGGUGAACCGCAUGUCAUAGAUCGCACACACCUUAAUCUGACUGACCGUUUCUUUUGUGUUGCCUAAUCACAAAUAGUUUCUCCGAGUGAACUGUAUGCAGUACAUCGCACACGCCUUGAUCUGGCUGACCAUUUCUUUUGUGUUGCCUAAUCACAAACAGUUCAUCCCAGUGAACUGUAUGCUGUACAUCGCACACACCUUCAUCUGGCUGCCCGUUUAUUUUGUUCCUCCUCAUCGAAAACGGUUAAUUGAACUGAACCGUAUGCCCUGAAUCGCACACGCAACUAAAAUCUGAACCGUGUUUGAUGCAUCCGUCAUCGCAAACAUUUUGCGUCUUUUUGACGGGUUUUUACACCACUGUUUGCGAUUAUUGCAUCGCACACAGUUUCGUCGGAGGGUCUCUCAUCGUAGUGUCGCGUUAGCAACAUCCUGCAGUAGUGCGUAUACCCGUACUAUGACUACGUGGACCACCUGCUGUUCCGGCCGCUCCGGCUGAACAAGGAGGCUGUGGCGUGUCGACUUACAUCAGUGAGCUCUACGAUGUGCACAUCCACCCGGGGACGAUGAUCAUAGAAGUACCAGGCGCUGUUCGACAUGAGCGACGUCUGAGAGCAUACGCCUUGUAACCAACGGGCUUCGGCAUGCUACUGGCCAACCAGGCAAGAAACAAGACACCACCAUGAAAGAUGACGGCAGGUAAAAAUGAUGAAGGAAUGCAUAUAGUCCUGGCCAUGGGCCGCCCGGCCCGACCCGGCCUGAAAAAGCCCGGCCCGACGCUGCUCCCGGGCCGGGCCUGGGCCUAGGUUUUGAGCCCGAAGCCUGGGUCGGGCCGGGCCUGGGCCCGCUGUUUAUGCCAUUUACUGAAGAAGCCCGGCCUGAGGCCCGAGGCCCGAUGUGUUUUUUGCUGUGAUGGGCCGGGCUCGGGCCGGCCGUUGGGGCCUAGUUUUCAGGCCCGGCCCGGCCGUCGGGCCUGAGUUUUCUACCUCGGGCUUGGUCAAGCCCGGCCCGAAGCCCGACCCGGCCCGGAGGAUGGCCAGGUCUAAACGCAUAUGCAUACGCAUCAUCGCAAGUAGAGGCCGGAUUGCUUGCAAAAAAAGAGAGUACUGGCCGGAUAUACAACAGGCCCACAGUCUGUCUAGCGAUCACAUAGUCCUUGAUCCCAUGCCAUGUAAGCAACCUGGUGCCAAACAAGAUAUGAGCAAAAAAAGACCAGGAUUGACCGGAAUUAAAAAGUACAGGGUAAUAAUUUCAGGGAUUUUAAGAUCCUAAAUUUUAAAAAGUGCAUAUGUACUAAUUAAAGAAAACGAGCGGCCGGUCUUACACACGCAUGCAUGUAGUUUUGUGGUCUAAAUUUUGUCUUUAUUCAUGACGUGGCAUGUACUACUAGGAUGGUCGCAUGGACAAGACACCACAUUAUUCCAUGGAUGCGCAUGUCCAUUUAUUCAGGUUUUCAAUUUUUUAAAAAGCCAUAUCUUUUAAACCGUGCUUCGGAAUUUAGAUCCGUUUUCACUAUUGGAAUCCUCGCGACGAGAUCUUUGAAACUAGAUCCCGCAUAGAUAUGUUUUGACAAAAAAAUUUUGAUGCCAACUUUGAUGCUAUAUUGUGCAACUUUAUUACUACAUCGUGCAACUUUUUUUCAAAACUAAUGUUUGGAGCUGCAUCUUCGUAUGAGGUUGCAACCUAGCAACCACGACAAUUUUGAUGUGCAACUAGUCUAUUGCCUCGACGAAAGUCGAUGUACAACCUCCUCUUGUAAUGUAGUCUAGUUGCACACACGUUGAUGUUUAGUUGGCUUGUAAUGUAGUAUAGUUGCACACACAUUGAUGUUUAGUUGGCUUGUAAUGUAGUAUAGUUGCACACACAUUGAUGUUUAGUUGUCUUGUAAUGCAGUCUAGCUGCACACACAUUGAUAUUUAAUUGGCAGGAAGACUGGUUGCACAUAUAUAUGCUCAGUUGGCGCGGCAAUCUAGUCUAGUUGCACACGCAUUAAUGUUUAGUUGGCAGGACACUAGUUGCACACACAUAUGCUCAGUUGGCGUGGCAAUCUAGUCUAGUUACACACACAUUGAUGUUUAGUUGGCAGGAAGACUAGUUCGUCGAAACAUCCCCAUGCGGGAUCUAGUUUCGAAGAGCACGUCGCGAGAAUUCCAGCGGUGAAAACGGAUCUUAAUUCCGAUACGCGGAUUAAAAGUUAUGUUUUUUUAGUUUUUGAAACAACGAAUUAAAUACACCAAAGAAUAAAAUGCAUGCACUGAAGAGAUGGCUGUGCAGACAUUUAAAGACCAGGUGAAAUGUUUUCUUAGUUAGGAUGGUUAAUUAGAAAGGGACAUAAAAUUUCCAGUUUAGGCCGGCCGCGUAGGCUAAGCGAUUUCAACUCAGACUUCAAGUAUAAAUUGAAGAUUUAUUUUAGACUUUUUUUUCUUUUCGUUACAACACACAGGCAUGUUUCAUGUAUCCUAGUAAAUAAAAAAAAACCCAACCGUGCAACAGCUCACCUUAUCCGAUCGCAAGAUUCUGGCCUCGCCAUCCCGGAAUCCACGUAUCAGCAGGCCCCCACCACGUAAAAAGCUCACAAACACUAGAGAAAAACAGCGCAGGAAUUCGCUAACCACACCCNNNNNNNNNNNNNNNNNNNNNNNNNNNNNNNNNNNNNNNNNNNNNNNNNNNNNNNNNNNNNNNNNNNNNNNNNNNNNNNNNNNNNNNNNNNNNNNNNNNNNNNNNNNNNNNNNNNNNNNNNNNNNNNNNNNNNNNNNNNNNNNNNNNNNNNNNNNNNNNNNNNNNNNNNNNNNNNNNNNNNNNNNNNNNNNNNNNNNNNNNNNNNNNNNNNNNNNNNNNNNNNNNNNNNNNNNNNNNNGUCUGGCCUCCUCCGGUGGAGGCGCCUCGCCGCCGCAGCCACGCGCGCCGCCUCCACCCUGACCGCAGCCGAAUGCUCCCCUGCCAUCGCGGCGGUCCCGCCACCGCACCGGCUCCUCCAGGAUCGGCGCAAGUGGGAGGGCCCCUCGUCCUCCUCCGGGGGCGGCUCCUCCUCGUCCUCCUCUAACGACGAGCCGGAGCCGCGGCGUAUCCGCGCGGAGGCCCACUGCCCGCGCUGCUCCAAGCACAUGGACAUCCUCUUCUCCCACCGCGCCCAUCCCCCUUCAGCCCCCGCCGCUGUCGGCGGCUAUCAGACGCUCAACCUCUGUCCCAACUGCCGCACCGCCUACUUCUUCCACCCCAACCACCUCGCGCCACUUCAGGGCACCUUCGUCGAGAUCGGCCGCGUCCGGGCUGACCUGCCCCCGGACGGCGUCAGGGUCAGGGACCCCUCCUCCUGGGAAGCCAUCCGUGCGAGCUCGUCUUCGCGCGACGAUGGGGAUGGUAGUGGCGUGGCCGUGCAUGUGCCGCCCGGGCCACCGUUCCACCCUAGCCUUAACGUCGUCCGCGUAGCCGGAGGCGGUGGCGGGGGAGGAGCUGCUGGCGGUGGGGGCGAGGAGGGAGGAGGGGGAAAGGACGGAUGGGGCGGGUCGAACCUUGGGAAGGAUUUUCCGACACCUAAGGAGAUUUCCAAGGGGCUCGAUAAGUAUGUGAUUGGGCAAGACCGAGCCAAGAAGGUGAGGAUUCUAUACAACUCUUUGCUGUAAUCAUGCUCCCGUUCACCUGUUUUAUUUACUGUUUAUAUCAGAGAUGGCAUUUUGCUGCCGCUUUUGGUCAGCUUGUGGGAAGUAUUGGGUUCUUAAUGCUGAUUCCAAAUGCUAGGUCUUUAAUGCCUAGUCCGUGUGCUCCUCUCAGUGCACUCAGCACAACAGUUUUUGUGCCAGUUGUGCUGUGCUAAAACUUGGGGCAUUGCUCUCGCGUGGGAACACAAUUAUGUUCUUUCCUAUUUUUUUCUUAUUUUGACCCGCGGGAGUUGUAAGAAGCCUACAGAGGGGAGGUUUGUAAUGGCAAAAGCAGUUUGAAAUUUUGAGCUCCAUCAAAUGAUGGCAUGCAAGGAGGGUGUUCUUCCUUUGCACCAAGAUACAUCUGAAUUUACAGAUUUAACCUAUUUUACCCAUUGCAUGAUAAUGAAAGAAAAUUUAGUAACCUUUGUUUCGAUAUACCACUUUUAGAGAAGUUUACGGAUAUGCAGAUCAAUGGUGUGGAAUUGGUACCUUAUACUGAAAGUAAUGAAGGUUAAUCUGGUAAUCUCACCUCUCACACACCAUCUGUUCCGUGGUAGUUCCAAGUAACGAUAAUGAACUAACCCAGCCCUAGUCGUCAGCUUCCCAUGGUCAUCAGCUACAUUCACACGCAGAUACAUUAUUCUAGCUCUAUUGUAAUAGGAUCUCAACAGAUUGUUGUUGAGCAUGUUGUUCCUCCUCGCUCUAUUCUAAUCUCUAUAGACUACCCCAUGAGGAAAAAUACAAAUCAUCAAGUUCAGCUGAAUACUUCUUCUUUCAUGGUAUCAGAGCAAGGAUAAUGCGGUCACCAAGAGCCUAUGUGCGGUCUUCCUAGGCAACACACACGCAGUCUCCUUUCUGUCAUAAACUAUAUACCUCAGCACCCUCAAGGAGAGCCAUGUGGCACACAUACAUGCCUGAGAAAUUCUGCUGCUGUUGCCAUCAUUGAUUGCAUUGUUUACGGUCAAUUAGCGCUGUACAUAAAAUGUGCCCGUUCCCUCUUGCUGGGCAGAUGGAUGCACCCAACUGCACGUUUUACUUCUAAAUACGAGCCAAUGAAUCUGCCCCCAGUCUCUAGCUCACGUUGUCAAGCUCAGCCUGAAGCCCGACAUGUACACCAGAAUUCCGUUCGCCACGUUUUACAACAAUGUAUAGAAGACAGGAAGAGAAAUAUUGACCUGAUUCAGCACAGAUCAAUCUUGGGCAGCUGUUGUUUUUUAUACAGCUUAGUGCCGAUAGGCAUACAAGGAGAUCAAUACAGGUACAAGCAUUGUGUCCAGCUGUACUAUAUAUGGUACCCAAAUCCAAUCUUUACACAAUAGAAUCCUAUUUCGAUUGGCUCAGCUUUGCUGAUUGAGGACUUAUGAUUACCCACCUAUUAGUAUAUUUUUUGCAGGAACACUAUUAGUAUAUCGGAGCUUUUUGGCAAACACAUUGCAUGAGAUGUAAUUCAGCAUAUGAGAGGCCUUUGUCAAGGGGACCCUAUGUCCCCAAUGUUGUUCAUCCUUGUCAUGGACGCUCUCAAUAGCUUGGUUCAAAAGGCCAGGGAUGAUGGCUGCUGCAGCCCCUAUCUAGCCGACCACUUCGUCAUCGUGUUUCUCUUUAUGCUGACGACAUGGUGCUUCUUAUUGUAAUGGUGGCUUCAGAUUCGGAGCUGAUCAAGGAUAUUUUACAUGUGCUUGGGGGGUGCAUAUGGUCUUAAGACGAAUAUUCAGAUGAUUAGUACUAUACCAAUCCAAUGUUCGGUCGACGACUUGGCUGUCGUCCAGGAGCAUUUGCCUUCUGAGGUGAAAGAGUUUCCUUGCAAAUAUAUUGGCCUUUUGUCCAUCAAAAACUUAACAACAAUCCAAAUUCAACCUAUCAUUGAUAGAAUUGCUGAUCAACUCCCGGGAUGGAAGGUUGAAGUCAUGACACGGGCUAGCUGAGCGGGUAAGGUCAUUUUCACAUCUUUGUUUGUGUAUUUGGCUAUGGCCAUGGAUCUUCCAAAUUGGGCUUUGAGGGCAAUUGAUAAAAUCAGAAGGGGCUUCUUGUGGAGAGGAAGGAAGGAGGCAAGAGUUGGUCAUUGUUUGAUUGCAUGGCUGAUGGUUUGCCUUCCAAGGAGCUCGAAAGGUCUGGAUAUUCUUGAUUUAAAACUUGCGGUUGGGCACGGAUGCGACGGCUAUGAGUGCAUAAAACCCAACUAGAUAAACCUUGGGACCAGAUACACUAUACUAGCGGUGGAGAAGAGAGCCUUGAUCCCAAGGUUUAUCUGGGCUCUCUUCUCCACCGCUAUUAUCUCGGUGGUGGGUGAUGGUCGUAACACCCUUUUCUGCAUGGAUGGUUGGAGGGGCAGUCCAUUGUUGAUCUUGCUCUGCACCUUUUUGCCCUUGUCCCUAAAGCAUCGGGGCAUCGGGCUAAUAGCCAUACAGUUCAUGAUGCACUGGUGGGACGUUGUUGGGUGCAGGAUAUUCAAGGUGCUCUCUUGGUGGCUACUUAUCCGAAUAUUUAAAUAUAUGGGAUCUUGUGUCCGAAGUGGAGAUCCAGAAUGACAUUCAAGAUAAGCAUUCUUGGAGAUUUGCUGGAGAUGGUUAGUAUUCGGUGAAAACGGCUCGCAAAGCAUAAGUGUUCUUUAUUGGUUUUAGUUGGUCUGGAACAUUGGAGGUUGAUUUGGAAGCCAUGUGCCCCUAAGAAACGCCAUUUCUUCUUGUGGUUGGUUGCCCAUAAUAAGUGCUGGACAGCUGACCGCCUUUAACGGAGGGGUUCGCCACAUUUCAGAUUGUUGCCCAUUUUGUGAGCAGGAAGAGUAUACGAUUCAUCAUAUCCUUGUCUCUUGUGUGUUUGCAAGAGACUUGAUCCCUCCUGUUCAGACAUCUUGGCCUCCCUGACUUGACGCCCCAAUCACCUUCUCCUCAUUUAUUUGUUUGGUGGCCUAGAACCAUCUCUACGGUGCCAGGUUCUAUGCAGGUUCUAUGCAGGGUGGUUGGAAAUCCUUAAUCACUCUUUGUGCUUGGAUGAUUUAGAAGCAUCGAAAUGACUGUGUCUUCAACGGGAGUUCCCAGUGUCCAAGGGGUGCUACUGGCCAUUAAAGAUGAAGCACAACUUUGGUCCUUAGACUGAUCAUGGGAGAGUCCUGGUUGUGGUCUUGGUUUGAGUGUGGGUCGUCUUUUUCUUGCUUCUAGCGCAUCCGUUUUAGCUGUUUAGUGGGGCUUGUAUGUACAUUUAUUCUAAAUGCAAUGGUACACAACUCUCCUGUGUAUUCGAGAAAAAAAAUCUUAAUGUAGUUGAGAUGAUUCGAUUGGAAAUGGAGUUUGAUCAGUGGGUUUUGAGUGUUGGUUUAGUUUAGUUUUCUCCUGAAGAUAUCUGAUAACACUUGUCUCAUGGCUAGUACUGCUUUUAUUCACACUAGCAAAGGUGAGAUCCAGGUGAUCGCUAGUUAUGGGAGUGCGCUCAAAGGAUAUAAAUAGGGUUUCACAAACAAAAAGGGGAAUAAGUUGUCACUUUCCCCGUCACGUAAAAGAACACCAUGAAACAAUGACAAGAAACCAAACAUAUUGCGUACCCACAGCCCACAAUUGAUCUAAUGCGAAGUCCUUGUAUGCUUUUCUACUAUUUUUAUGCAAAUUCAAAAAGCACCAGUGGUUACUUAACGCUGAGGGCAAACUAUUAACUUAAUGAGAGUGCUCUUAUGUGGAUUCCAGCCAGUGAGCGAUUCAAUCGGGUGUGGAAUGUGCCCAUCGCGGAGCAGGUUGGUAGUAACUGGAUCCCUACCAGGGCGUGGUCUCAGGUUGUAGGGGUGGAAGGAGGGAUGGCGUGGUCGCCGGCGCUGGGGCGCCGUUGUUGCGUGCGUGAGAGAGAGCAGGGGCGGCGGCUAGGGUUAGGUCUCCCGACUCCCUAAGGAAGCCGAGCAAAUAUGAUUGUUUCUUGCUUAAUCCCAAAACGGGUCCUUACACGAGUUUAUAUAAUCCUCCUAAUAAGAUAAUUGGGCUAAGCCCCUAAUAACGAUAAGAUAAUCUGGGCCACAACUAACUGGGCUAAGCCCCUAAUAUGCCAGUCAUAACAUCUCUCCCUGCCUGCACAAACAACUCGUCCUCGAGCUGGAAGGCGGGGAAGAUCAACGGUUGCCAAACACCUCCGCGUCAACUGGGGCGGGCUGGUCGCCGAGCCCGGCGGCGGCGGGGUCCUCCUUAAUGUAAUCUGCAGCCUCCAGGUAGAAGAGUCGUGGGCAGAUGUGGCCCGAUACGUAGGGCUCGUCGCAGUUGAAGCAUAACCCUUGGCGGCGACGCUCGAGUUGCUUGGCCGGGGUGAGCCGGCGAAACGGGCGUGUCGCAGCUGUGGCGAGGGGCGCCGUGGAAGCCUGGGCAGGCCAACCCUACGUGGGAACUUCCGGCCAGGGUGGCGGUCCAGCGGCCCGGGGCGGUGGCGCCUGCUGGAUGGCGACCGCGCGACGCUAGAACGCGCGGGCGUAGUACAUGGCCGUCUAGAGGUCCUGUGGCCUGCGCAUCUCCACGUCCACGCGGAUGUGGUCCGGUAGGCCGUCGACGAAGAGCUCAGCCCGCUGACGAGCCGAAACGCCGGGGGCGUGGCAUGCCAGUGCCUGGAAGCGGUCGGCGAAGUCUUGCACCGUGGUGAGGAACGAAAGACGCCCAAGCUCUGCCAGACGGCUCCCGCGUAUAGGCGGACCGAAGCGCAAGAGGCACAAAUCGCGGAAGCGCUCCCAUGGUGGCAUGCCGCCCUCGUCCUGUUCGAGGGCGUAGUACCACGUCUGCGCGGCUCCUCGGAGAUGAUACGAGGCGAUCCAGGUGCGGUCGGACGCGAGCGUGCGCUGUCUCCUGAAAAAUUGGUCGCAUUGGUUGAGCCAAUUCAAGGGGUCGACGGUGCCGUCAUAGGUCAUGAACUCCAGCUUGGAGAAUCUCGACGGCGUUUGGACGUGGACGACGGGCGGGUGUGCCUCGUCAGCACGGAGCAGCGAGGAUGACGGGGCCGAGAAGGCGGGCAUCAGGGUGCCGCCCUGGAACAGGGGCCCAUCGACGCUGAUGAAGGGCUCGGCGGAGCCCGAGGACCUGCCAAACUGCAUGGCCGGGUGCGUCGCCGGCGGGGGCAGCACGUGCAGCCCGACUGAGGCCGUCGUGUAGACCGGCUCAAGGGACCCAGCGAGCCAGGCCGGUAACGGAGACGACGACGAGGGGAACCGGACCUGGUGGAUGGGCACCCCUGGGCUCAUCGCCGGGAUGUCCAGGGCCGUGGUCGCCGAUGGCGGCGGCUGCAGUUGUUGCUCCUGCUGCAUGGUGGAGGCGCCGGGGUUCGUCGCUGGUGGCGGCUGCCACGACAGCUGCUGCAUGGCGGCGGCGACGGGGGUCGCCGAGGAUGGCGGCUGCCAUGACGGCUUCUGCGGUGGUGGGGCGGUGGCGAAGGGCACAGGCGGCUGCGGCCCAUAGGAUCUCGCGAGGAACGUGUAGAUGCCCGUGACCGCCUGGGUGAGAUCCCGGAUGGCAGCCGUCAUCUCCUUUGGGGUGAAGACGAUGGGGACGGGCGCAGCGGAGGUGACCGGCACCGGCAAGAGCGGGGCGUUGGCCGUGGUGGCCAUCGGGGCGGUCGUCGCGGUCGGCAGCCAGAGGGUCGGGGUGGGCGGCGGUGAGGACAUGAUCGCAUUGAAGCUAUCUGAUACCGAAUUUGUGGUACUGGAUCCUACCAGGGUGUGGUCUCAGGUUGUAGGGGUGGAAGGACGGAUGGCGUGGAGGAAGGCGUGGUCGCCGGCGCUGGGGCGUCGUCGUUGCGUGCGCGCGCGAGAGAGAGCAGGGGCGAUGGCUAGGGUUAGGUCUCUCGGCUCCCUAAGGAAGCCGAGCAAAUAUGAUUGCUUCUUGCUUAGGGCCUCUUUGAUUCACAGGAUUGCAAAAACACUGGAAUAGAAAGAAUACAGGAAAUCUAUAGGGUUGCAGUUGUAAAACAGAGGAUUGAAAAACAGUGAAAGUAUAGGAAUAUGAAACAAAUGGAACGUUUGAAAUGCAGGAACUGAAAUCAAAGGAAUGCAUUAUUUAGUAGAGAAACCAUGCGCUGGUAUGCAACUUUGUCCCUCUUGCCUCGGUCUUUGUGUAAAAAAGAGGUCUGACUCAAUGUUUCACUUCAUGCGAAAUCACAGGAAACCAACAGUGUUUCUCUGGAUUGCAACAGUAUUCCUCCAUACUUGUUCCUGCAAAUCAAACAUCGCUACAGUAGCAAAUCCUAUGGAAUGAGAAUUCCUGCGUUUUUCCUAUGAAAAAUCCUUCAAAUCAAAGGAGGCCUUAAUUCCAAAACGGGUCCUUACACGAGGAUACUAAUAAGAUAAUUGGGCUAAGCCCCUAAUAACGAUAAGAUAAACUGGGCCACAACUAACUGGGCUAAGCCCCUAAUAUGCCGGUCAUAACACAGGUCAUUAGUGCGGUAGGCCUGGAUGAUCUGGAAGCAGAGGAACGCCUGCGUCUUCGACGGCGCUCAGCCCUUCAUUACCGAACUCACGGCUAGAAUUAGAGAGGAAGCGACCCUUUGGGUCAGAGCAGGAGCCACAGGCCUAGGCGUAGUCUUACUGACCACCUGGGACGUCCACUGAUCCUUUUUUGUUUUGAAUUUGUAACCCUCCCUCUCGGAGGCUUGUACUGAUGACCCCUCUCUUUUUUCAAUGCAAUGAAAUGCAAAGUCUUUGCGUUUUCUCGAAAAAAAAGAGGCCUGCGGUGUCUAGAUCCUUGGCAACUUGGUCAAUGUACGCCUGGAGUUGUGAGAUGUGGCUUCAUUUGAGCACAACUUGAGCAAGCCAUUGAGAUGCAGAGCUUGGAGGCGAAAGUAAUGCGGUCCAAACCGGCAAGGAUGCUUUGGUGAUAGGAAGGGUUUAUCCUUUUAGGGAGGCCUUGGCGUUAGUUUCUCUCCUUGUCUGACACCAGUGACAAGGAUUGCUCAUGGAGGCAUGAACUCGGCAUUGACGACCACUUCAUCUUUCUGCGUCCAGUGGCUGCCAAGAGCUUGGUAGUGCUCAUGGAGAAUCGGUCUCUGGCGCUGCUAUGGAUACAGACCCAGGUGGAUUUGCUCAACCACAGGUCUGCCACCUCCAACAGUUUUCUACAGAAGCUGUACGGAAAACUGAUCAAGAACGCUGGUGAUUUCACCUUCAAUCAACCUUGACCUGGGUGCACCUUUCCUUGAUCUGUGCCAUCUAACAAAUCUAGUGCAAGUUCCAAUGUUCCAUACACAAUAUAGUACAGCUAGUGUUGAUGAGAUUUGGCGAUCAACUAUUUGUACUGUCAAGGGUGGUUUUUCUCAAUUGUAAGAUAUAUUAGCCUUGAGUGGCAAAGGUGGCACCUAGAUAUUGAUUUAGUAUAAUCAGCAUGAUAAGCUCAAGUACUCCUGCUUAGUAUUGUGUACUCAACACUCGACACUAACGCUUCCAUAGCUUUGAUUUUCUGAUAUGAUAUUACCAUUUAAAUUUGUAGGUGCUAUCUGUUGCAGUGUACAACCACUAUAAACGUAUAUACCAUCAGUCUCUACAGAAAGGGUCAGUUCCAUUGUACCACCUCAUUUCUUUUUGUUUUGUUUAUGAAAUGAGUAAGAAUAUUUAUUACUGCACCCACAGAAAUUAGAACUCAUGCAUAUCAUUCAGCGACUAAUUAUGUGAUGUAUAAGCUAAAACCAUUAGGUCUGGAGCAGAUUUGGGUUGUUCUGAUGGAGAAGCUGAUGGUGAAGACAAUGUUGAACUAGAGAAAAGCAAUAUACUGUUAAUGGGCCCUACUGGUUCAGGUAGCAUCUGCAACUAUCCUCAGUUGUUGUGAUUGGAAUAAACUGAAUUCUGGUUUCUUCUAUGUUGGACGGACUAUAAUAAAGAGAGAGCGCUCAUCAGUAGUAUUUUGUUUGGAUGCUUCAUAUUUUUCGCAGGUAAAACUUUGCUUGCAAAGACAUUAGCUCGGUUUGUGAAUGUGCCAUUUGUAAUUGCUGAUGCAACAACAUUGACCCAGGCAAGUGGUUCACUAUUCACUAAUGUUUACAUUCUGGAGGAUAUUUUAAGUGCAUAAUAAUGUAUAGUACUGAAACUGCACCUCAUAUAGUCGGUUUUAGUUCUACUAAGCCUAAAACCUAUUGAUUCCAAAGUUUGUCUCCAUAGCUCUAACUUUCUAUUAACCCCUGUCUGACCAUCAUCGACUAGCACCACAUCAUCCUCAAAGAGCAUACACCAUGGGAUAUCUCCUUGUAUAUCUUUGUUGACCUCAUCCACCACCAAGGCAAAAACAUAAGGUCUCAAAGUUGACCAUUGGUGCAGUCCUAUCUUAAUCGAAAACUCAUCGGUGUUGCCAUCACUUGUUUGAACACUUUUCACAACAUUAUCAUACAUGUCCUUGAUGAGGGUAUGUACUUUGUUGGGAUUUGUGUUUCUACAGGGCCCACAACAUGACAUUUCGCAGUAUCUUAUCGUAGGCCUUCUCCAAGUCAACGAACACUAUACACAGGUCCUUCUUUUGCUCCCUAUAUCUCUCCCUAAGUUGUCUUACCAAGGAAAUGGUUUCCAUGGUCAACCUCCCGGCAUGAAACCAAACUGAUUUUUGGUACGCUUGGCAUUCCUCUUAAGCGGUGCUCAAUGACUCUUCUCCCAUAUCUUCAUUAUGGCUCAUCAGCUUAAUUUCAUGGUGAUUAGUAUAACUUUGAACAUCCUCCUUGUUCUUGAAGAUCAGUACUAAUAUACUCCACCUUCAUUCUUCUAGCAUCUUGUUUGCCUGAAAAAUGAGGUUGAAAAGAUUAGUUAGCCAUACUAUCGCUAUGUCUCCAAGGCCUCUCCACAUCUCAAUGGGGAUACAAUCAGGGCCCAUCGCCUUGCCUCCUCUCAUCCUUUUUAAAGCCUCCCUGACCUCAAACUCUUGGAUUCACUUCUGAAUUCGUCGCACAAAACGCCUGCUGGUAUCAUCAAAGGAGUCGUCCAGCUCAAUGGUAGAGCUCUCAUUCUCUCAAUUGAACAUCUUGUCGAAGUACUCCCGCCAUCUAUGCUUGAUCUCCUCGUCCUUCACCAUGAGCCAACCUGCUCCGUCCUUGAUGCAUUUCACUUGGUUGACAUCCCUCAUCUUCCUCUCUCGGAUCUUGGCCAUCUUAUAGAUGUCCUUUUCGCCUUCCUUUGUGUCUAAGUGCUGGUAGAGGUCCUGAUGGGGAACAACAGAGGAGGAAAAAAAUCAUAUGUCAAAUCUGUUUGGCUACUUCUAGAUAUUUCUACUCUAGUCUAGUUUUUUUUUUCUUUUCUUAACCCUAGCUACUGUUUUCUAGUCUUCUAGCUAUGAGGAGAAUGGUGAAUCUUGUAAUGUUUUCUAGAGUGUUCUAGCUAUAAGUAGAAGUGAGAUGUCAGGGCUUCCCAAAGCCCUAUAAACAGAGGUCCUCACCUCUAGUUUGUAACCAGACUAUGUACCCCACUACCUAUAACAGAACUGGGUGUUCUUAUCUAGAUCUUGGACUAGAUCUUGUGCUCUAGGAGUUUCGGAUUGAACUCCUGCUGCCAUAUUGUCCUAUAUUCUCCUCUAGAGCAAUAUGUAGCGCAACACGUUGAAGUAGUUCGUUCAACACUAGUGCUGUUCACUUUGUAGCAGCAAGUGGAGUUGCUCCUCACAACCUUGUGCUGCUUCAGGUUCUCAUACGCCCGAUCCCUUGCUUCACUCACUGCUCGCUUUGCAGCCUUCUUUGCCGCCUUGUACUUCUCUGUUGUCUGCACUCCUAUCCAGGUGUAGGCAUCUGAAACAGUCUUUCUUCUCCUUAAUAGCCUUCCACCGCCAGGUACCUUUAGCUUCGCUUCUACUUCCUCUGGUCACCCCAAACUCCUUUGAAGCCACCUUACGAAUGCAAGUCGCCAUCUACAUCACCUCCUUCCUCCCAAGGGCCCUCCUUAAUAACCCUCUCAAAAGCCUGAGCCGCCUCCCCCUUGAGCUUCCACCACUUAGUUCUAGCGGCUUGGGGCGCUUAUCCUGCUACACGAAUCCAAAAGCGGAAGUCAGCCACCUAAAGCUUAUGUGAGGGACAACACUCUCUUCAGGUAUCACCUUAAAAUCUAGUAAAGCAUGCAUGCCUUCUCUUCUCGAGAGGACGAAAUCAAUCUGGCUAGAGUGUUCACCACCACUAAAAGUCACUAGAUGGGAUUAUCUCUUUUUUAAGAGGGUGUUAGCUACAAUCAUGUCGUAGGCUAGAGCGAAGCUUAAGACAUCUUCUUCUUGAUUCCUGAUGCCAUAGCCAAAGCCCCCCUACACCCCUUCAAAACCUGUGUUAGAUGUACCCAUGUGGCCAUUUAGGGCUCCUCCUAUGAAGGGCUUCUCACUAAUAGGUACACUCCUAACCAUGACGUCUACUACUCUCUUGUUGAUCAAGAUGCCUACUUCAUUUCUUUGUGAGCGAUUCAACUAAUAAAAAAUGAUUAACUGCCGUCACCUGAUUCCUUUAGGCAUAUUUUUAAGUGAAUCUCUCUCUCUCUCUCUCUCUCUCUCCUUUGUUCAGACACUAAGGCUUUAUUUUUCAACUUCCUGCAGGCAGGGUAUGUAGGAGAAGAUGUAGAAUCUAUAUUGUACAAGUUACUUACGGUAUGGUUUUUGAUUGCACAUAUAUUUAAACAAAUAGGAGCUACUAGUUGACUUCUCACUAUGAGUCCUUGAAAGUGAACUCUGGGUCUUAUAUUUGAACAUUAACUAGGUGGCAGAUUUUAAUGUGCAAGCAGCACAACAAGGGAUGGUGUACAUUGAUGAAGUUGAUAAGAUCACUAAGAAGGUCUGUCCAAAUUAACUUCUGUUGAACAUUUUUCCUUGGUAUGGGAAUCGUUAAUCAGUUGGGUGCAUUCAACAUGCAGGCUGAGAGCCUUAACAUCAGUAGAGAUGUAUCAGGCGAAGGUGUUCAGCAGGCUUUGUUGAAAAUGCUCGAAGGCACGGUGAGUCAUCUUCAUUGACCUUCCGAUGAAGCAGCAUGUUUAUAAAUUGUAAGUUCGAACGUUUGCAAGCAGAUAUUGGCUGCCACUAGGAUUAAAAUGUAUAUCAUUCGUAGAUUAAUACUCCCUCCGUUCCUAAAUAUAAGUCUUUUUAGAGAUUCCAAUGCGGACUACAUAUGGAGCAAAAUGAGUGAAUCUACACUCUAAAAUAUGUCUAUAUACAUCCGCAGUCCUUACUGAAAUCUCUAAAAAGACUGAAAUUUGUAGUGGUGGCUGAAUGCUAUACCUAGUUCUAUUCAUGCAUUUUCUUUCUUUUGUGCUGUGUAUUGUGAGCUUGCAUUUUGGAGCUUUUAUAGUGAUGUCAUUAUUGGAUUUGCAAAUGUAUUGGUUUGAGGCAUCAUAGUUUUGUUUUACAUUAAUCCUACUAUGCACUAAAAAGUAACUCAUUUGCUUCAUUGAUAUCGUGCGAUCUUUCUGGGGUACUAUGAUUCUUGGUAAAAGAUAAGAUCAUUUCUUGAUAAUUGUCUCUACAUAUGGAUGCCUUUUAAUAUAUUUUUCUAAUGUGGUCAUGUUUAGAUAGUCAAUGUCCCUGAGAAAGGAGCAAGGAAGCAUCCUCGUGGCGAUAAUAUACAGGUACCGUCAGCACAAUUUGUAUAUGACAUUCUUCCCAAAGAAAGUGUGCAUGGUAUACAUUUUGCCUGAAGAACUACAGUAUCACACCGCCAGUACCUGUGUCCUGAAUGGUAGCAAAAAUAGAGAAAAAUAUGGAAUUAUGUGACCUUAUCAUCAUACUAGUCCUUCGUAGAAAAGAGAACUUAUUUAUUAUGAAUGCAUACCGUGCUGCUUUAUACAUGUAUCGUAUUGUUUCUUUACACCCAGUGGCGGUGCCAGGAGGCAGGAGCUAGGACAUGUGGUGUUAGUAACUUCUAGAGAUUAAUGCUAUUUGUAAUACUAUGUUUAUUUGGAUUUUUGUUUGGGGCGUAACCCUCUCAGCGACGCUCCACAUCAUAACCCGGGUGUGGUGGAAAAUGGGCAAGGGCCGGGCCGUCACCUCCCUGGCGGCGCGCCGUAUCUUGAUCCGGAUACGGUGGCAAGUGAGCGAGGAUCGGGUCGUCGCAUCCUUAGUGGCGCGCUACAUUGGCGCCCAGAUGUAGUGGAAAAUGAGCAAGGGUCUUCGCAUUUGACUCGAUGAGUGCGAAGGGUAAGGAAGCUAACCGAGCCUAGGAGGAUUCGCUUAGGUAGUUGGAACGUAGGAUCUCUGACAGGGAAGCUUCGAGAGCUAGUUGAUGCAGCGGUGAGGAGAGGUGUUGAUAUCCUUUGCGUCCAAGAAACCAAAUGGAGGGGACAGAAGGCGAAGGAGGUGGAGGAUACCGGCUUCAAGCUGGAAACAGAAAUGGCGUAGGCAUCUUGAUCAACAAGAGCCUCAAGUAUGGAGCGGUAGACAUCAAGAGACGGAUUAUCCUGGUCAGGCUGGUAGUUGGGGACUUAGUUCUCAAUGUUAUCAACGCGUAUGCCCCGCAAGUAGGCCACAAUGAGAACACCAAGAGGGAGUUCUGGGAAGGCCUGGAAGACAUGGUUAGGAGUGUACCGAUUGGCGAGAAGCUCUUCAUAGGAGGAGACCUCAAUGGCCACGUGGGUACAUCUAACACAGGUUUUGAAUGGGCGCAUGGGGGCUUUGGUUAUGGCAUCAGGAAUCAAGAAGGCGAAGAUGUCUUAAGCUUUCCUCUAGCCUACGACAUGAUUGUAGCUAACACCCUCUUUAGAAAGAGAGAAUCACAUCUGGUGACUUUUAGUAGUGGCCAACACUCUAGCCAGAUUGAUUUCAUCCUCUCGAGAAGAGAAGAUAGGCAUGCGUGCCUAGACUGUAAGGUGAUACCUGGAGAGUGUUGUACCUCAGCAUAAGCUGGUGGUUGCUGACUUCCGCUUUCGGAUUCGUGUCCAGCGGCAUAAACGUGCCAAAGUCGCUAGAACAAAGUGGUGGAAGCUCAAGGGGUAGGUAGCUCAGGCGUUCAAGGAGAGGGUCAUUAAGGGGGCCUUGGGAGGAAGGAGGGGACGCGGACAAUGUGUGGAUGAAGAUGGCGACUGGCAUUCGCAGGGUGGCCUCGGAGGAGUUUGGAGUGUCCAAGGGAAGGAGAAGCAGAGAUAAGGAUACCUGGUGAUGGAAUGAUGUUGUCCAGAAGGCGAUUAAAGAGAAGAAAGAUUGCUUCAGACGCCUACACCUGGAUAGGAGUGCGGACAACAUAGAGAAGUACAAGAUGGCGAAGAAGGCCGCAAAGCGAGCUGUCAGUGAAGCGAGCGGUCAGGCAUAUGAGGACCUCUACCAACGGUUAGGCACGAAGGAAGGCGAAAGGGACAUCUAUAAGAUGGCCAAGAUCCGAGAGAGGAAGACGAGGGAUAUUGGCCAAGUCAAAUAAAUCAAGGACGGAGCAGACCAACUCUUGGUGAAGGACGAGGAGAUUAAGCAUAGACGGCGGGAGAACUUCGACAAGCUGUUCAAUGGAGAGAAUGAGAGUUCUACCAUUGAACUGGACGACUCCUUUAAUGAGACCAGCAUGCGUUUUGUGCGGUGAAUCCAGGAGUCUGAGGUCAAGGAGGCUUUAAAAAGGAUGAAAGGAGGCAAGGCGAUGGGCCCUGAUUGCAUCCCCAUUGAGGUGUGGAAAGGCCUCGGGGACAUAGCAAUAGUAUGGCUAACCAAGCUUUUCAACCUCAUUUUUCAGGCAAACAAGAUGCCAGAAGAAUGGAGACGGAGUAUAUUAGUACCAAUCUUCAAGAACAAGGGGGAUGUUCAGAGUUGUACUAAUUACCGGGGAAUUAAGCUGAUGAGCCAUACAAUGAAGCUAUGGGAGAGAGUCAUUGAGCUCUUAUGGAGAGAUACAGGGAGCAAAAGGACUUGCAUAUGGUGUUCAUUGACUUGGAGAAGGCCUAUGAUAAGAUACCGCGGAAUGUCAUGUAGUGGGCCUUGGAGAAACACAAAGUCCCAGCAAAGUACAUUACCCUCAUCAAGGACAUGUAUGAUAAUGUUGUGACAAGUGUUCGAACAAGUGAUGUCGACACUGAUGACUUCCCGAUUAAGAUAGGACUGCACCAGGGGUCAGCUUCAAGCCCUUAUCUUUUUGCCUUGGUGAUGGAUGAGGUCACAAGGGAUAUGCAAGGAGAUAUCCCAUGGUGUAUGCUCUUUGCGGAUGAUGUGGUGCUAGUUGACGAUAGUCGGACGGGGGUAGAUAGGAAGUUAGAGUUAUGGAGACAAACCUUGGAAUCGAAAGGGUAUAGGCUUAGUAGGACUAAAACCGAGUACAUGAUGUGCGGUUUUAGUACUAGGUGUGAGGAGGAGGAGGUUAGCCUUGGUAAGCAGGUGGUACCUUAGAAGGACACCUUUCGAUAUUUGGGGUCAAUGCUGCAGGAGGAUGGGGGUAUUGAUGAAGAUGUGAACCAUCAAAUCAAAGUCGGAUGGAUGAAGUGGCGCCAAGCUUCUGGCAUUCUCUGUGACAAGAGAGUGCCACAAAAGCUAAAAGGCAAGUUCUAUAGGACGGCUGUUCGACCCGCAAUGUUGUAUGGCGUUGAGUGUUGGCCGACUAAAAGGCGACAUGUUCAAACAAUUAGGUGUGGCGGAGAUGCGUAUGUUGAGAUGGAUGUGUGGCCACACGAGAAAGGAUAGAGUCCGGAAUGAUGAUAUACAAGAUAGAGUUGGGGUAGCACCAAUUUAAGAGAAGCUUGUCCAACAUCGUCUGAGAUGGUUUGGGCAUAUUCAGCGCAGGCCUCCAGAAGCUCCAGUGCAUAGUGGACGUCUAAAGCGUGCGGAGAUGUCAAGAGAGGUCGGGGUAGACCGAAUUUGACAUGGGAGGAGUCCGUUAAGAGGGACCUGAAGGAUUGGAGUAUCACCAGAGAACUAGCUAUGGACAGGGGUGCGUGGAAGCUUGCUAUCCAUGUGCCAUAGCCAUGAGUUGGUCGCGAGAUCUUAUGUGAUUCACCUCUAGCCUACCCCAACUUGUUUGGGACUAAAGGCUUUGUUGUUGUUUGUUUGUUUGUUGUAAUACUAUGUUUGUACGAAAUCUGUGUGGUUGGAACCCCACAGCUUGCUCCAAGUGCCACCACUUUUUGCACCACAAAUGUCAUAUUAACUUCAUUUUUCUAAUUGCCUUCUAGUACCAUCUAAACCAUGAUCCACUUUUCAAGGCCUUCCUUGUUUAAGGUAAUGUAAUCAUGGCUGAGCUUUAAUUCUCUAUUCUGCAUGCCAUACAGAUAGAUACGAAGGAUAUUCUGUUUAUAUGUGGGGGUGCUUUUAUUGACUUGGAGAAAACUAUAUCAGAGAGGUACCAUUGUUUUUACCUGUUUCAAAGUUGCUAUCUCUGGUGUUUCCUGUCAGUCUUCAUCUAAGGGGCAUCCCACCCCCUUUUUGUGUAAAUAGGCGGCAGGAUUCUUCUAUUGGAUUUGGGGCACCUGUCCGUGCAAGCAUGAGGACUAGUGGUAUUUCAAGUGCUCAAGUGACAUCGUCCUUGUUAGAAUCAGUGAGUACCAGAGUCCAGGAGCCAGCUAUUUUUGGAAGCUUUGUUUCAGGGAGAAUGUGAAUGCAUUUGCUCUGUAAAAGCUAAAGUGUUUUUUAUUUGGUUUUGUUUUCAGGUUGAGAGCAGUGAUCUUAUAGCAUAUGGACUCAUUCCGGAGUUCAUUGGACGUUUUCCUAUCCUUGUCAGCUUGGCAGCACUAAAUGAGGACCAACUUGUUCAGGUAGAUCUGUAGGAGGAAAAAUAUCCUAUUAGGUGGAAAACAUAUUUCUAUAUGAUUGUUAUUGAACUUAUAAUUGAUGGCUAAUACAAUAAAUGUACUGCUAGGUUCUCACCGAGCCAAAGAAUGCUCUAGGUAAACAAUUCAAGAAGUUGUUCAGCAUGAAUAAUGUGAGUAUAUUUUCAUUGGAAACAUGCAAGUGUUAUCUGGCGCUUCUCACACUGUUGGCUUUCAGGUUAAGCUUCACUUCACGGAUGCUGCACUAAGAAUAAUUGCCCAGAAGGCAAUGUGCAAAAAUACAGGUGCACGGGGCUUAAGGACUAUCCUUGAGAAUAUUCUCAUGGAUUCCAUGUAUGAGGUUCGUCCGAUAGCAACUUUGUAUUCCUUUUCCUUGAACUUACACACAAACUCAAUGGAGCUGGCAUUCAUACCAUAUAUUCAUGAAUUUGUGACUGCCUUGCAGAUUCCAGAUACAAAAUCUGGAGAGAAGCGAAUUGACGCAGUGGUUGUAGAUGAAGGUGCAGUAGGAUUGGUGGACCGACCUGGCUGUGGAGCUAAGAUCCUUUACGGCGAUGGUGCAUUUGAUCGUUAUCUAUCCCAGAUAAAGGUGGGAAUUGCCAACCUCAAUCAGCUUGCCUUGUGAUAUUGGUAAUAUCAAUCAUUUGCUGCGAGUAAUAUUUCAUGGACUAAAAAUGCUGCAGGCAAUGGGAGACGGAGCAGGAAGCGAAGUGGAUGGGGAUCCUGACCUUUCUUCGUCAAGAGCCAUGAGCAUGUGAUUUCAUGGUUCCUCUAGCUCUACUGUACACUGUAAAAAUCUGAUCCUAGCUGUAUUAAUGUAAAGAAAAAAAAACACAUGUGCAGUACCCAUUGCUAAUUCAAACCCCAGCUGUCUGGCCGUCCUCACGCCUUGCAUAAUCUGUAGCAGGACUGGGAAGUGUAUAGUGGAGCAAGUUGGGUGUCGACGUGUGUGUGAAGGUGAGAGACUUUUUAUGUGAAGAACUGUAAUGCUUGCCAGAUGUUGUAAAACUUCAAACACUGAGAUGAAGGGGUUGAAAUUUAGCAUGGAGAUACGAAAUUAUGUUAUCAGCUCCUUGCCCGAAUUGUGCUGUGUGGUGUACCAGCCUUGCUUGGUAGAAAGACGAAAGAGAUCCGAAUGCUUUAGGGACUUGGGAGUUUCUGCUGCAGUGCUCAAUGCACUCUCGUGGUCUAGAAAAAUACUACCUCUGUCCCAUAAUAUAAGACGUUCUUUGCAGUUUGAAACUGCAAAAAUGUCUUAUAUUUUGGGAAACAUUGUUGUAUGUCUGUACGUUUUCUGUGAAUAAAAAGAAUUUCUAAGGGCGUG
Molecule: long non-coding RNA, 35638 nt
Filed under: Triticum aestivum (bread wheat)
Lineage: Eukaryota; Viridiplantae; Streptophyta; Magnoliopsida; Poales; Poaceae
Description: long non-coding RNA (TAES_LNC010309)
Source: RNAcentral